UACGAAGGGGGCUAGCGUUGCUCGGAAUUACUGGGCGUAAAGCGCACGUAGGCGGAUCUUUAAGUCAGGGGUGAAAUCCUGGAGCUCAACUCCAGAACUGCCUUUGAUACUGAGGACCUUGAGUUCGGGAGAGGUGAGUGGAACUGCGAGUGUAGAGGUGAAAUUCGUAGAUAUUCGCAAGAACACCAGUGGCGAAGGCGGCUCACUGGCCCGAUACUGACGCUGAGGUGCGAAAGCAUGGGUAGCGAACAGG
RNAcentral lists this ribosomal RNA (253 nucleotides) under uncultured bacterium. Its description in RNAcentral is "partial 16S ribosomal RNA". It matches the Rfam family "Bacterial small subunit ribosomal RNA", at positions 524 to 776 of the family's 1533-position model. The record is from RNAcentral.